RNAcentral lists this ribosomal RNA (759 nucleotides) under Parahaemophilus parainfluenzae. RNAcentral's name for it is "Haemophilus parainfluenzae bacterial SSU rRNA". It matches the Rfam family "Bacterial small subunit ribosomal RNA", at positions 28 to 776 of the family's 1533-position model. Lineage: Bacteria; Pseudomonadati; Pseudomonadota; Gammaproteobacteria; Pasteurellales; Pasteurellaceae. The record is from RNAcentral.
AUUGAACGCUGGCGGCAGGCUUAACACAUGCAAGUCGAACGGUAACAUAAAGAAGCUUGCUUCUUUGAUGACGAGUGGCGGACGGGUGAGUAAUGCUUGGGAAUCUAGCUUAUGGAGGGGGAUAACUACGGGAAACUGUAGCUAAUACCGCGUAGAAUCGGGAGAUGAAAGUGUGGGACCUUCGGGCCACAUGCCAUAGGAUGAGCCCAAGUGGGAUUAGGUAGUUGGUGAGGUAAAGGCUCACCAAGCCGACGAUCUCUAGCUGGUCUGAGAGGAUGACCAGCCACACUGGGACUGAGACACGGCCCAGACUCCUACGGGAGGCAGCAGUGGGGAAUAUUGCGCAAUGGGGGCAACCCUGACGCAGCCAUGCCGCGUGAAUGAAGAAGGCCUUCGGGUUGUAAAGUUCUUUCGGUAGCGAGGAAGGCAUUUAGUUUAAUAAACUGGAUGAUUGACGUUAACUACAGAAGAAGCACCGGCUAACUCCGUGCCAGCAGCCGCGGUAAUACGGAGGGUGCGAGCGUUAAUCGGAAUAACUGGGCGUAAAGGGCACGCAGGCGGUGACUUAAGUGAGGUGUGAAAGCCCCGGGCUUAACCUGGGAAUUGCAUUUCAUACUGGGUCGCUAGAGUACUUUUAGGGAGGGGUAGAAUUCCACGUGUAGCGGUGAAAUGCGUAGAGAUGUGGAGGAAUACCGAAGGCGAAAGCAGCCCCUUGGGAAUGUACUGACGCUCAUGUGCGAAAGCGUGGGAGCAAACAGG